Molecule: ribosomal RNA, 229 nt
Filed under: uncultured bacterium
Lineage: Bacteria
Description: partial 16S ribosomal RNA
Rfam family: Bacterial small subunit ribosomal RNA
Source: RNAcentral
CGGGUGAGUAAUGUAUGGGGAUCUGCCUGAUGGCGGGGGGUAACUACUGGAAACGGUAGCUAAUACCGCAUAAUGUCUGCGGACCAAAGCGGGGGGACCUCCGGGCCUCGCGCCAUCAGAUGAACCCAUAUGGGAUUAGCUAGUAGGUAAGGUAACGGCUUACCUAGGCGACGAUCCCUAGCUGGUCUGAGAGGAUGAUCAGCCACACUGGGACUGAGACACGGCCCAG